RNAcentral lists this ribosomal RNA (330 nucleotides) under Pseudomonas aeruginosa. Its description in RNAcentral is "bacterial SSU rRNA". It matches the Rfam family "Bacterial small subunit ribosomal RNA", at positions 148 to 478 of the family's 1533-position model. Lineage: Bacteria; Pseudomonadati; Pseudomonadota; Gammaproteobacteria; Pseudomonadales; Pseudomonadaceae. The record is from RNAcentral.
UACUGGAAACGGUAGCUAAUACCGCAUAAUGUCGCAAGACCAAAGUGGGGGACCUUCGGGCCUCAUGCCAUCAGAUGUGCCCAGAUGGGAUUAGCUAGUAGGUGGGGUAACGGCUCACCUAGGCGACGAUCCCUAGCUGGUCUGAGAGGAUGACCAGCCACACUGGAACUGAGACACGGUCCAGACUCCUACGGGAGGCAGCAGUGGGGAAUAUUGCACAAUGGGCGCAAGCCUGAUGCAGCCAUGCCGCGUGUGUGAAGAAGGCCUUCGGGUUGUAAAGCACUUUCAGCGGGGAGGAAGGCGUUAAGGUUAAUAACCUUGGCGAUUGAC